Molecule: ribosomal RNA, 460 nt
Filed under: uncultured bacterium
Lineage: Bacteria
Description: partial 16S ribosomal RNA
Rfam family: Bacterial small subunit ribosomal RNA
Source: RNAcentral
CCUACGGGAGGCAGCAGUGAGGAAUAUUGGUCAAUGGACGAGAGUCUGAACCAGCCAAGUAGCGUGAAGGAUGACUGCCCUAUGGGUUGUAAACUUCUUUUAUAUGGGAAUAAAAUGUUCCACUUGUGUGAUUUUGUAUGUACCAUAUGCAUAAGGCUCGUCUAACUCCGUGCCAGCAGCCGCGGUAAUACGGAGGCUCCGAGCGUUAUCCGUAUUUCUUGGGUUUAAAGGGUGCGUAGGUGGAUUGUUAAGUUCGUUGUGAAAGUUUUGUGCUCAACCGUAAAAUGGCAGUUGAAACUGGCAGUCUUGAGUACAGUAGAGGUGGGCGGAAUUCGUGGUGUAGCGGUGAAAUGCUUAGAUAGCACGAAGAACUCCGAUUGCGAAGGCAGCUCACUGGACUGCAACUGACACUGAGGCUCGAAAGUGUGGGUAUCAAACAGGAUUAGAUACCCCUGUAGUC